This 301-nucleotide ribosomal RNA is filed under the name uncultured bacterium. RNAcentral's name for it is "partial 16S ribosomal RNA". It matches the Rfam family "Bacterial small subunit ribosomal RNA", at positions 509 to 807 of the family's 1533-position model. The record is from RNAcentral.
CAGCCGCCGCGGUAAUACGGAGGAUGCAAGCGUUGUCCGGAAUCAUUGGGCGUAAAGGGUCCUGAGGUGGUUUGCUCAGUCCACUGUGAAAGUUCAGGGCUUACCCUUGAAAAUGCGGUGGAAACUAGUAGGCUAGAGUACGGUGGGGGCAGAGGGAAUUCCCGAUGUAGCGGUGAAAUGCAUAGAUAUCGGGAAGAACACCGAUGGCGAAGGCACUCUGCUGGGCCGACACUGACACUGAAAGACGAAAGCCAGGGGAGCGAAUGGGAUUAGAUACCCGGGUAGUCCCUGUCUCUUAUAC